ACUGGAGUUCAUCCGCGUGCUCCUCCGAUCGGAUGCAACACUCAAGUCGGCCUGGACUCGCCGGAGAACUCGCCGCCUAUCUACAGACAGCAAGUCACGGUGAUCCGCGUUUAGCCUCCCCUAACCACAGCAUGCCACU
Long non-coding RNA from Xiphophorus hellerii (green swordtail), 139 nucleotides. RefSeq lists it as uncharacterized. NCBI's taxonomy places the organism in Eukaryota, Metazoa, Chordata, Actinopteri, Cyprinodontiformes, Poeciliidae. The transcript is spliced from 3 exons. The record is from RefSeq and is a predicted model, not a curated record.